GGGCGCAUAGCUCAGUGGGAGAGCGCACGUUUUGCAAUGCAAAUUCUACGUGAGGUCCAGGGUUCAAUCCCCUGUCCGUCCA
RNAcentral lists this transfer RNA (82 nucleotides) under Tilletia horrida. RNAcentral's name for it is "tRNA-Ala". It matches the Rfam family "tRNA". From Rfam's summary of the family: Transfer RNA (tRNA) molecules are approximately 80 nucleotides in length. Their secondary structure includes four short double-helical elements and three loops (D, anti-codon, and T loops). Lineage: Eukaryota; Fungi; Basidiomycota; Exobasidiomycetes; Tilletiales; Tilletiaceae. The record is from RNAcentral.